Molecule: ribosomal RNA, 535 nt
Filed under: Pyrrhoderma noxium
Lineage: Eukaryota; Fungi; Basidiomycota; Agaricomycetes; Hymenochaetales; Hymenochaetaceae
Description: eukaryotic LSU rRNA
Rfam family: 5.8S ribosomal RNA (bases 155-308)
Source: RNAcentral
GAAGAGAGAGAGGGAGAGGGAGAGUGGUUUAUUCGUUUAUUCAUUUAUUCGUGUAUUCAACUCAAAGUCUUCAAUCUCUCUUUUGACUUUAUAAUAAACAACUAUAUUGUUUGUGUAGAAUGCAUUAGCCUCAUUGUAGGUGAAAUAACUAUACAACUUUCAACAACGGAUCUCUUGGCUCUCGCAUCGAUGAAGAACGCAGCGAAAUGCGAUAAGUAAUGUGAAUUGCAGAAUUCAGUGAAUCAUCGAAUCUUUGAACGCACCUUGCACUCCUUGGUAUUCCGAGGAGUAUGCCUGUUUGAGUGUCAUGUUAAUCUCAAUACAACAUUUUUUGUAACUAAAAAGUGUUAAUAUUGGACUUGGGGACUGCUGGCGUAAGUCGGCUUCUCUUGAAUGCAUUAGCUGGGCUUUUGCUCGAGUAAUUGGUGUAAUAGUUUCUAACAUUCACCGUUUACACUUGCUAAUAGAGUCUGCUUCUAAUCGUCUUGUAAUGAGACAAACACUUAACUUUGACCUUUGGCCUCAAAUCAGGUAG